Molecule: long non-coding RNA, 789 nt
Filed under: Fukomys damarensis (Damara mole-rat)
Lineage: Eukaryota; Metazoa; Chordata; Mammalia; Rodentia; Bathyergidae
Description: lncRNA (ENSFDAG00000026463.1)
Source: RNAcentral
CAGGAAGAGGUGAUGGGUCUGUGUCAGCAGGGUUUGCACUGGGGCGGCUCCUUCUGGUGGCCAAAGUGACCGAUCCCUGCCGGGGCUGCCCUCAGUGCACCCUGCCUCCUGCACCCAAACUGCUUUUAGCCACUUUUCUUUGGGUCACCUCACCCAGAAGGCUCUGGAGCUCUCUGUGUCAUCUGUCCCUCAAAGUUUCCAUUCCUCCUGGGACAACGAAGAAGCCACCACGUGACUCUGUACCCUGAGUGUGCAUCUCAUCAGCAACACUGCAGAACCCACAGUAACCCGGCACCAGGGCUCAUGGGAGCAUCUGGUUUAGUCUGAGCUCUGUGCAAGACAUUGGAAAGAUGAAUGCGAUGCCCUUUCCCAAUAAUUCUAAGUUUCUGCUGUGUUUUGAGACCCUCGAAUUGUCAAGGCCACAGAAGUGAAAAGCAUCGUUAUUAUUUACUGUCAUAAUUGCCAUCUGCCUGGCUCUCUGCUGACACCCAAGGCCCCUCAUCCAUCUCUAUGAGUAUCAAACAGAUUAGCAUUGCUUAAGACAGAAAAUACUUCACGAAAGAUUCAUAGAAAGAUGCACCCUGAGCCCACCUCCUUGGUGUACAGCAUCAUCGAGCGGACUGACAUAAAGCAAGUUGUCCCAAGGCUUGGGGCUCUGUGGGAAGAACUUACAUACAGCUCCCUCUCAUCUCCGUCCCAGCCUCGGCCUCUCAUCUCCCGCUUUCUAAGUGCAGCCGCCUGCCCCACUCCUCAGCGACCUUGUGGCCGCAUUCACCCUGUGUCCCAGAG